UUCGCAAUGCCCGAAAGGGUGACGAAGCGACGCCGCGUGCGGGAAGAGGGCCUUCGGGUUGUAAACCGCUGUCGGGAGUUAGGAAAUGCAAGGAUGUUAAUAGCAUCUUUGCUUGACUAAGGCUCCGGAGGAAGCCACGGCUAACUCUGUGCCAGCAGCCGCGGUAAUACAGAGGCGGCAAGCGUUGUUCGGAAUUAUUGGGCGUAAAGAGCACGUAGGCGGCCUUGUAAGUCAGUUGUGAAAGCCUUCUGCUUAACGGAAGAACAGCAUCUGAUACUGCAAGGCUAGAGUGCGGAAGGGGAGAGUGGAACUUCUGGUGGAGCGGUGAAAUGCGUAGAUAUCAGAAGGAACACCGGCGGCGAAGGCGACUCUCUGGUCCGUAACUGACGCUGAGUGUGCGAAAGCUAGGGGAGCAAACGGGAUUAGAUACCCCGGUAGUCCUAGCCGUAAACGAUGGGCACUAAGUAGAGGGGUUUU
Molecule: ribosomal RNA, 477 nt
Filed under: uncultured anaerobic ammonium-oxidizing bacterium
Lineage: Bacteria
Description: bacterial SSU rRNA
Rfam family: Bacterial small subunit ribosomal RNA
Source: RNAcentral